GUUUUUUUUGUUACUUGUUUCAUGUUGUAAAUUAGUUUUGCAGUAUCAUUUUAAAGGAAUUUUAUUAAUUAUUCACCACAGCUGAGGCGUUGUUGAUUGUGUUUCUCUUGCACCAUCGGGCCCAACAAAGCAGCUCACGCAAUUCUAGCUACGUUGCCAUGGGUCCGGGGCAGCCCCAUACUGCCAUCUCACUGUGGCUGUGUGUAUCGAUGCUUACUGGACCUAUCCACUCGUAUGCACACAGUACCAGGGCACCGAAAAGCAAGCGCGGAAGUUUGUUUGGCCAGUUCAGCUUGCCACUUUCUGCUCCUCCUGUGUGUUGUAGUAAACCCGAACCCACCCCAUUCUCUCGCACACGCACCGAAGUCUCGGGCUGGGAAAGACUUUAUGUGGGUGUGAGCUGCUGCUGACCGUGUCGUCUCUUCCGACUCUUCUCUUCUGCUCCGACGCACAAUUAUGUCAAAACAAUCAAAAUGGCGUGCCAUCAUCAUCAACAUGGUUAGCCAUGAGAGAGAUAGAGAGAGAGAGUAGAGAGAGUAGAGAGUAGAGAAAUGUAUCGUUUUUGCGCGACGGUUAGGCGUGCAUCGUCGAUAGGAUUAUUUUAAUUCUUUCCGACAACAUCGAAAUGGAUUGUUGCUCAUAUUUAUGAAAAGAUUCUCAGUCGGUCAUCUGAUACGGAUACCCGUUUGAGUGUUGAAAUGAAAUGCCUUGUAUGUGUCACUCCAAGGUUCAGAUACGUUCAGAUGUGGGUGUUUUUUUUUCUCUCUCUCUCUCUCUCUCUCUCUCUCUCUCUCUCUCUCUCUCGAUGUGGAUAUGUUUUCUCAGCUUUGGGCAAUUUGCAUGAGGGAAUGCACUCACCGUUCUCGAUGGCUGGUCAAGAGGCAAGUUUGUAAAUGUGUUGGUACACUUACGCAUAAUCAAUUCACCCGAGAGAAGAAACAGAGAGUAAGAGAGAAAGAGAGCGCGGAAGCAACCCCUGUAUUUGUUUGUAUGCGCGUGCGUUCAUUGAGACAUCGUUCCAUUCCAAGAGAGAGCGAGAGAGCGAGAGAGCCGGCAUUACUGGAGGGGAAUGGGGUGGCGGUGGUAUUUGUAAACGAAAAGCAACUAAUGUUUGUUUACCGAAAGAAUGGUACUAGAAUCCCAGCAGCCCAGGCAUGCUGGGGAAAGAUUUACUAGAAACAACGGUGCUUGUUUCAUGACAUUUAGAGUGGAAUUAGUGUUUUGUCGUAAUUUAAGCAUAAUUGUUGCCAUUUUUGUUCGUUAAAGAAACUUUUCCAGUUCACUCAAACGUUCGUUUUAAGGUCUCAGUUGGUCCCGGAAAUUGUGAGGAUUUUUUGAGCACUUUCUCCCCUUUUCUUCAUGUCAUCAUUUUCUCAGAUAAAUUGCUCUAAUCCUUUUGUUUUGAUUGUUUUGCAAUUUUGCUUGUAUUUGCCCUUGACAUACAGCAUAUUGAUCCGAUAUUAUAAACCCAUGGUGGUUGGCAGAUGUAAUUUACCUUGUCUCCUUCCACGUUCCCAUUGGGAAUGCUUCAUGCGGCAUGUUACUACGUGCUUAAAAUUUGCUCGUGUGCCAAGCAGUUCCAGCAAACCAAACAUCCAACAUGUAGGACCAUACAUUUUGUGUCUAUUUUGUUACUACUGAUCUAUACAAUUUUUCACCUCACACCAAGUCACUACUGCUAUAUAUUGGUUGCUGCAGGAGCCGUGGAACUGUUGAAAUCGAAAUGGCCACCCAUGCGGCUGCUUCCCACCAUCCAUCGAUUUCACCCACUCACUCCGGGCAGCGGGCCUCGUCGUUCGACGCCGGGGUGCGGGUGGUAAAAAGUGCAUUAAUCUAAAUGGUGAUUUUAAGUCGACAUCUCGUGCACAGCUUCCCGGGCGAAAGGGCGACAGGGGGAGGUGGGGGUGGUUAUUACUCCGUCACAUCAUCGUAAGUUAUCCGUUAUUUUGGAGGAAAACCGGCUGCUGCCGCCGCCCACUUGCGCGUCACUCACGCACUGGAGAGCGCCAGGCAAGCAUGUAGACGCUUGUCCCCGUCGUGCCUCGUGCGGUAACAUGACGGGUGCGCCCACACACCGGCCUGUACCUUGUGCUGUUGGACCACGCAUAUUAGCCUACGCACCGGGCAUGGAGCAACAUUCCCAAGACGACUUAAACAAACAAAAAAACACAAACUAGUUCCAUCUAACGCAUCUCAUCGAAUGCACUGCACCAACACACACGCGCGAAUGCGCGGUAUGUGGUGUACUUUCUCGGGUACUCGAGCAUCACGUUGAGUUGGUGUUGUCGUUGAAAAGCCAGUGUGUUGUCGUAGCCAGGACCGCUGGAAAACAUUAUAUGAUGGAAUGUAUAUUAACGAUUAGAGCUGAACGAACAUCGAAAGAGGUUGAUACAGGAUGUUUAAACAUUAUUUAAGAGUGCUCUUUAAAGCUUUUUCCUCUGAACUUGUCGCCUUCAUCGGGGGAAGCAUUUAGAUGAUAGGAUGUUUAUUUCUUCAGCACUUUAGUCCCAUCAACUCGCCCGACGCCAACACGUUGCUCGUCGUGAGUUCAAGUCUCGUAGUGACCGUCGUCCUGUAUAGGCCGGCAAGAUCGUGUAGGAUUCGUUGCCUUUCCCUUACUGUGUAAUGCCUGUUUCGCUAAUAAUGCUAGAAUACUUCCGUUCAAUAAAGGGGCAAAAGCCUCCUUUUUCCUUCAUGUUUGGAUACGGAAAUCUGGAGCCUAUUUUGUACGAACGAAGUACGCAUGAACCUUCAACAUUAAACUAAGCUGUCAGACGCAUAUCCUAAAUCUUUUUUUUCUACUUUAUGUUUGCACGCGAGGGGUGUUUCAAUGAACAAUUGCGAAGAAAAGAAAAAAAAAACGCACAGAACGAAAUUACAAUACAGCCGAAAUUUUGGUUUAAUCAAGGAUCGGUUCGAAUGCUGGUUUCCGCUGGUUCCGCGCGCAAUGAAGAGAGACGCUAACGAUUCCUAAGAUCUGUGCGCACCGUUACCGGGUCCUGCUGCAAGAACGCCCCGAAUAGUCGCGACUCUGGGCAGGAAGGAAGGAACAGGACAGCAUCAACACUUCUCGUGCCAUGCUACGGCCAGAUUAUGGGAGAAUAACAACAAAAGAACAAACAACCAAGACAAACAGCAGGAAGAAAAGGGGAUGAUAGAGACCGAUGGUAUGGUGGUGGUGGUGGUGAAAUGAAGGAACUGGUUGUCGAAAAUUAGACAAAAAAGGGGUUAAACGGGCAUUUGUUCCUGGUGGCAUUCUUCUCAAAUAUGUUGCUUCUAUUCGUACUUUAUCACACAAACACAGACACACUCACACAUUCGCUCUCUUUUUCUAUCUAUCGCUCUCGCUUUUACUUUGGUUGUUGCCUUUUUAUUUUUUUAUGUUCUUAUUCCUCCUUUUGGUUGAUUGCAACAUCCUAGGCCAUGGAUUUUUUUUGCUUUCUGCCGUUUGUGUGUGUGUAUUAUUGCUAGUUUUGUUUGGUAGUUUUAUUCGCCAACCUAUCCUUAACCCCCAGCCCAUCUCUCCCUCCUUCUCCUCCUCCUCCUCCUCCUCUUCCUGGUUGCUUUGAUUGUAGUGGCGGUGCGCGAGCCGGUAGACGCGAGAUUCGGCGGCUUUUGCGCGACCGUCUCACGCGGAGGCCCCUUUUCUGGGGCAGAGAGCAGCAGCCCCUCUGGAUGGCCCUCUGCAGCCCAGCAUGAUGAUAUUUGUGCGCGCCAAAUUUGUCUUCGUGCGGCUUCUGGCAAGGCUUCUUCCUGGUGGAGGAUUGCCUAGAGAGAAGGGGGAAAACACACACACACACGCACACAAACAACAAAAAAGACAACCGAACCGAAAUCGCAGGUAGAAAAGCCCCCAUUUCUGCAGCCUCGAGAUCAAGCGCUGUGUGCGCGAACGCCGUGGAGAUUCGGGCUGUUUAGGAAGUUUUGCGCAAUCCGAAAGCACACAUGUGCGCGCGCGAACCUUUUUUGGUUGAUGUUUUGGCCUGCCAUUGAACCAGUUUCAAGGGUAUGGCUGGCAUGGAACGGACAGUCUUGUUUUUUUUCUUCUCUCUCUUCAAUUUCUUUCCUUUUUGUCGCUUCGAGAGCGCGCCUGCUGUCUAUGGCGACACACGGGGUGUGUUGUACACAGGGCGAGCGCGCGUGAAUGCUUUCUAUUUAUGAGCUUCCAUACUUCGCUGGCCCAAAAGUAGUUGACAACCGAUUGUAUGCUGUAAUGCCUUGACCCUAGAAGUAGAAGCUCGCCCAAAUCACUUCGACUGUUACUUGUUGAACGUCGAAUAGUAGAAUGCUUCCAAAAUGAAUGCGCGCACGCAGGCUGAAAGGUGGAUGGUAGCCAUGGUACCAAACGUAGGAUACUACCCAGGCUGCAAAUGACAGCUGAAAAGACGUCUUUUGGUGGUCUUUCGGGUCACCGAAAGUCCGCCGAAAGACGUCUAUAUAACACCAGUUUAGACCGACAUUGACAACACCAGCGAUGUUUUUCCUAUGCGAUGUAUUUUGAUGUCAAUGUCAAAACAUACAGUGUUGCCAGCAAAAAAAAAUCAAAGCUUUGUUGCUGUCAUUCUAUCGUCUUGUUGAGCCGCGCACUGUCAAUCACACGUAUUGCGUUGUGCGUUUCGCUGACAAGCUGUGGUGUGUGUUGUAUAUCGUUCUAAUGUUAGGUUAUUAUUUAGUGUAAGAGAUAUAGAUUUACCUUUUGAUUCUUUGAUGAAUGGAUUUGAACUCGUUCCUUCGAAUGUGCAGUACAUAUCCCCACCGCAGUAGUGAUUGGUCCAACGCUUCUCCGCUGAUAGACACGCAACUAUAGCGCUAUAUAAACCAUCAGAGACGCAGGAUGGAAAACGCAAAACGUCCGAGGUUCAUCGUUCAAAUGAAAAAUGGGAAGGCUGUAUUGUUACCGAUCAAUCAAGCAUCCUCUACUCCGCCAGUUAAAAUAAACUCCUAUCAUCAUUUACAUCCGGAUGUUUUGGAAGAUUUAUCCUCGUGCUCAGAUAAAACACAAACAUACGAAGAACAUAACGAAAAUUUCAUCCAAACACCGAGCACCUCACGACAAGACUUGCUAAAAAACCCACUUCCGAAGCAAAAAUCCUGUUCAACACAAACCAAUAGACAAACUGAAGGAGAUUAUUUAUGGAACGAAAUUAUCAACAAACUAGACUUAAUACAACAGGAGCAAAGACAGCAAGCAGAGAUAUCAAACAAGAGAAUAGCAGCUUUGGAAGGACAAAUCAAAUUGAUGCGGUCGGAAUUCAACAUUGUCUCUGACAAAUUGAUUCCUCGUCCAGGGUUUGUGGCUGUGUCGAGUUUUGAGUGGGAACCACUAGCAAACAAAAAUGAUCUGGAUACGCUUGAAAAAAGAUUGUCGGAACCUGAGUUUAGAAAGAAUUUCAAUGACUAUUUAGAAACUCGUCUACCAUCAGAUUGUUCAGAAGAAAGGAUGCAUGCGGCUAUGGACAUAAUAUUUACAAAGGAGCUAGUGACUCAAAUCACGUGGACGGGCAUAAGUCGUCCCAUUGAAAAAAUAUGCUUUUUCGAAUACAAAAAUAUAAUUAGGCAAUUUAAAGACAUAGGAACAUACGGAGGUGUUACACCAUCUGAUAAAGCAAUCAAAGGUUUUUUCCAAAACAAAUUCAAGCAUGGUGGUCAAAGGCUAAACUUAGUUGGAUUAGUUAGAACUUCUCAUCAUCGACGCUAGAAAUCGUAUAAGUUGCGCAGUGUCGUUAUGUAAGUUAGAAAUGAAUGAAUUUAUUAAAUGUGUUCGGAAAUACCAUCAUGUGAUAUGAAAACCAUAAGAAUUGCAAUAAAGAUUAAAUUUAAAAUGUACAUUUCUGUUUUAUUCAAUUAAC
This is a long non-coding RNA of Anopheles gambiae (African malaria mosquito), 5849 nucleotides long. RefSeq lists it as uncharacterized. Lineage: Eukaryota; Metazoa; Arthropoda; Insecta; Diptera; Culicidae. The transcript is spliced from 4 exons. The record is from RefSeq and is a predicted model, not a curated record.